GUGCCAGCCGCCGCGGUAAUACGUAGGGUGCGAGCGUUAAUCGGAAUUACUGGGCGUAAAGCGUGCGCAGGCGGUCUUGCAAGACAGGUGUGAAAUCCCCGGGCUUAACCUGGGAACUGCACUUGUGACUGCAAGGCUGGAGUACGGCAGAGGGGGAUGGAAUUCCGCGUGUAGCAGUGAAAUGCGUAGAUAUGCGGAGGAACACCGAUGGCGAAGGCAAUCCCCUGGGCCUGUACUGACGCUCAUGCACGAAAGCGUGGGGAGCAAACAGGAUUAGAAACCCGGGUAGUCC
This 292-nucleotide ribosomal RNA is filed under the name uncultured bacterium. RNAcentral's name for it is "partial 16S ribosomal RNA". It matches the Rfam family "Bacterial small subunit ribosomal RNA", at positions 505 to 796 of the family's 1533-position model. The record is from RNAcentral.